UACGGGAGGCAGCAGGUGGGGAAUAUUGCACAAUGGGCGAAAGCCUGAUGCAGCUAUGCCGCGUGUAUGAAGAAGGCCUUAGGGUUGUAAAGUACUUUCAUCGGGGAGGAAAAAACAAAACUAAUAAUUUUAUUUCUUGACGUUACCCGAAAAAGAAGCACCGGCUAACUCCGUGCCAGCAGCCGCGGUAAUACGGAGGGUGCUAGCGUUAAUCAGAAUUACUGGGCGUAAAGAGCACGUAGGUGGUUUUUUUAAGUCAGAUGUGAAAUCCCUGGGCUUAACCUAGGAACUGCAUUUUGAAACUGAAAUACUAGAGUAUCGUAGAGGGAGGUAGAAUUCUAGGUGUAGCGGUGAAAUGCGUAGAUAUCUGGAGGAAUACCUGUGGCGAAAGCGGCCUCCUAAACGAAUACUGACACUGAGGGUGCGAAAGCUGGGGAGCAAACGAGGGAUUAGGAUACC
RNAcentral lists this ribosomal RNA (459 nucleotides) under uncultured bacterium. RNAcentral describes it as "bacterial SSU rRNA". It matches the Rfam family "Bacterial small subunit ribosomal RNA", at positions 340 to 786 of the family's 1533-position model. The record is from RNAcentral.